UACGUAGGGGGCAAGCGUUGUCCGGAAUCAUUGGGCGUAAAGCGCGUGUAGGCGGUUCGGUAAGUCUGCUGUGAAAGUCCAGGGCUCAACCCUGGGAUGCCGGUGGAUACUGUCGGGCUAGAGUGCGGAAGAGGCGAGUGGAAUUCCCGGUGUAGCGGUGAAAUGCGCAGAUAUCAGGAGGAACACCGAUGGCGAAGGCAGGUCUCUGGGCCACUACUGACGCUGAGAAGCGAAAGCGUGGGGAGCGAACAGG
Molecule: ribosomal RNA, 253 nt
Filed under: uncultured bacterium
Lineage: Bacteria
Description: partial 16S ribosomal RNA
Rfam family: Bacterial small subunit ribosomal RNA
Source: RNAcentral